Molecule: ribosomal RNA, 654 nt
Filed under: uncultured bacterium
Lineage: Bacteria
Description: bacterial SSU rRNA
Rfam family: Bacterial small subunit ribosomal RNA
Source: RNAcentral
GGGGAUAACUACUGGAAACGGUAGCUAAUACCGCAUAACGUCGCAAGACCAAAGAGGGGGACCUUCGGGCCUCUUGCCAUCGGAUGUGCCCAGAUGGGAUUAGCUUGUUGGUGGGGUAACGGCUCACCAAGGCGACGAUCCCUAGCUGGUCUGAGAGGAUGACCAGCCACACUGGAACUGAGACACGGUCCAGACUCCUACGGGAGGCAGCAGUGGGGAAUAUUGCACAAUGGGCGCAAGCCUGAUGCAGCCAUGCCGCGUGUAUGAAGAAGGCCUUCGGGUUGUAAAGUACUUUCAGCGGGGAGGAAGGGAGUAAAGUUAAUACCUUUGCUCAUUGACGUUACCCGCAGAAGAAGCACCGGCUAACUCCGUGCCAGCAGCCGCGGUAAUACGGAGGGUGCAAGCGUUAAUCGGAAUUACUGGGCGUAAAGCGCACGCAGGCGGUUUGUUAAGUCAGAUGUGAAAUCCCCGGGCUCAACCUGGGAACUGCAUCUGAUACUGGCAAGCUUGAGUCUCGUAGAGGGGGGUAGAAUUCCAGGUGUAGCGGUGAAAUGCGUAGAGAUCUGGAGGAACACCGGUGGCGAAGGCGGCCCCCUGGACGAAGACUGACGCUCAGGUGCGAAAGCGUGGGGAGCAAACAGGAUUAGAUACCCU